GUCGUAACAAGGUUUCCGUAGGUGAACCUGCGGAAGGAUCAUUAUUGAAUAAACAUGGUUGGGUUGUAGCUGACUCCUAGGAGUAUGUGCACACCUGCCGUCUUUAUCUAUCCACCUGUGCACACAUUGUAGUCUUGGGGGAUUGAUUAGUGACAAUUUUUUGUUGCCAUGUCGUCCUCUGGGGUCUAUGUUAUCAUAAACCACUUAGUAUGUCGUAGAAUGAAGUAUUUGGGCCUCAGUGCCUAUAAACAAAAUACAACUUUCAGCAACGGAUCUCUUGGCUCUCGCAUCGAUGAAGAACGCAGCGAAAUGCGAUAAGUAAUGUGAAUUGCAGAAUUCAGUGAAUCAUCGAAUCUUUGAACGCACCUUGCGCUCCUUGGUAUUCCGAGGAGCAUGCCUGUUUGAGUGUCAUUAAAUUCUCAACCCCUCCAGCUUUUGUUGCUGGUUGUGGCUUGGAUAUGGGAGUGUUUGCUGGUCUCAUUCGAGAUCAGCUCUCCUGAAAUGUAUUAGUGGAACCGUUUGCGAUCCGUCACCGGUGUGAUAAUUAUCUACGCCAUAGACUGUGAACGCUCUCUGUAGUGUUCUGCUUCUAACUGUCCUAUUAAAGGACAACAAUAUUGAACUUUUGACCUCAAAUCAGGUAUGACUACCCCUGAACUUAG
This 662-nucleotide ribosomal RNA is filed under the name Coprinus comatus. Its description in RNAcentral is "eukaryotic LSU rRNA". The stretch from base 258 to 411 matches the Rfam family "5.8S ribosomal RNA". Lineage: Eukaryota; Fungi; Basidiomycota; Agaricomycetes; Agaricales; Agaricaceae. The record is from RNAcentral.